This 469-nucleotide ribosomal RNA is filed under the name uncultured bacterium. RNAcentral's name for it is "bacterial SSU rRNA". It matches the Rfam family "Bacterial small subunit ribosomal RNA", at positions 28 to 507 of the family's 1533-position model. The record is from RNAcentral.
GACGAACGCUGGCGGCGUGCUUAAUACAUGCAAGUCGAACGGAGCUUAGCCAGUAGUUUACUACAGGCGAAAGCUUAGUGGCGGACGGGUGAGUAACGCGUGGGUAAUCUGCCCCUAAGUCUGGGAUAACAGAGCGAAAGUUCUGCUAAUACCGGAUAUACUUUCUUUGUCGCAUGGUGAAGGAAGGAAAGGUUACGCUUAGGGAUGAGCCCGCGUCCCAUUAGCUAGUUGGUGAGGUAACGGCUCACCAAGGCGACGAUGGGUAGCCGGCCUGAGAGGGUGGACGGCCACACUGGGACUGAGACACGGCCCAGACUCCUACGGGAGGCAGCAGUAGGGAAUUUUCCGCAAUGGGCGAAAGCCUGACGGAGCAACGCCGCGUGAGGGAAGAAGGUCUUCGGAUCGUAAACCUUUGUCAUCGAGGACGAUAAUGACGGUACUCGAGGAGGAAGCCCCGGCUAACUACGUG